Long non-coding RNA from Nannospalax galili (Upper Galilee mountains blind mole rat), 183 nucleotides. RefSeq lists it as uncharacterized. The transcript has 3 exons. The record is from RefSeq and is a predicted model, not a curated record. NCBI's taxonomy places the organism in Eukaryota, Metazoa, Chordata, Mammalia, Rodentia, Spalacidae.
GAAGCAGCAUGCACCCGGAAGGCCGCCGCUUAGUUCGUAGAUGUCUGCUUCAGAAAACUCAAUGGCUGUCCAAAACAGGCCUACAAAGCCCUCUGAGUGCCUUCAAGAAUGGAACUGGGCCAGCUUGGUGGCACAUACUUUAAUCCCAGCACUCAGGAGGGAGAGGCAGGCUGAUUUCGGGAA